RNAcentral lists this ribosomal RNA (253 nucleotides) under uncultured bacterium. Its description in RNAcentral is "partial 16S ribosomal RNA". It matches the Rfam family "Bacterial small subunit ribosomal RNA", at positions 524 to 776 of the family's 1533-position model. The record is from RNAcentral.
UACGAACCGUCCGAACGUUAUUCGGAAUCACUGGGCUUAAAGGGUGCGUAGGCGGCGCGGAAAGUUGGGUGUGAAAUCCCUCGGCUUAACCGAGGAACUGCGCCCAAAACUACCGUGCUUGAGGGAGAUAGAGGUGAGCGGAACUUAGGGUGGAGCGGUGAAAUGCGUUGAUAUCCUAAGGAACACCGGUGGCGAAAGCGGCUCACUGGAUCUCUUCUGACGCUGAGGCACGAAAGCUAGGGUAGCGAACGGG